GCAUAUCAGAGGGAAUACAAUGGUAGAAUAGUCAUAGGGCAUAAGAAGUAUUAAACAAAAUGGCAUUUCAAUUCAAGAUGAUUUAAACAAAAAAAAUAUCAUAAAUGGACACAAUUGUCAUCAGAAAAACUACAGCUAAUGUGCUAAAAUACUGGUGCUGGUAACCAAGGCCAAAUAUCUUGUUAUAAACAAGGGACAAUUAAGACUUAGAAUCAUCCUUCUGGACUUGGAUUGUAGUAUACAGGAAAAUACCAUAUAGUCAGUAUAGCCAACAGCACGUGGUUCUAAAUCGCCAAAACAGGACAUACGGGACUUAUGUAGAUGCUCACCAGGAACAUUCUAAAUGUGACCCAUUUCUUAUAAGCAAACCCAAUAAUAUGUAACAGGUCCAAAGUGUAGUAAAAUAAACUGUCCAUACAUAUACAAGCUAUUAAUUUAUACUGCUAAUGCACUUACUUGAGAAACGACAAAAAGUAACAAAGCAGGUGGCAUAAACACAAACAGUCCACUGCAGGCAUGAGCUUGACUAGCCUUCUUGCCAUCUCAACUGGGAGAUAGUUUAGGUCAGAUCUAAGGUCACAAAAAAUGUACACGCAGCGAGGCACCUUUCAUAGGGCUGUGUGUACUGGUUCUCCAGGCAGAGAGAGGCUGAACUCCAAAUUUCAAAACUUAAGAUAAAACCGUAAACCUUGCAAAAAGGAGAAACUAUUCAAAGACAAUAAAACACAAAAAAAGACUGGAGAAUCUAUGAGGGUAUUUAUAAUUGCGUUUCCUAUCCUAAACAGCCAAGUGGGUGGAUAUAACCCUACUGUGAUUCUGCUAUGCAUCUGUCCUUUUUUUUUUAACAAUGGCAUUACUACUGUAUAUUGUGGGUGACUACCAAAUUGUUUAAAUCAAUCCUUCAUUUGUGUAACAAAUGAGUGAAGAUUCAUU
Non-coding RNA from Pelobates cultripes (western spadefoot toad), 933 nucleotides. NCBI's taxonomy places the organism in Eukaryota, Metazoa, Chordata, Amphibia, Anura, Pelobatidae. The record is from the annotation of a GenBank genome assembly.